Molecule: long non-coding RNA, 869 nt
Filed under: Volvox carteri
Lineage: Eukaryota; Viridiplantae; Chlorophyta; Chlorophyceae; Chlamydomonadales; Volvocaceae
Description: long non-coding RNA (VCAR_LNC003153)
Source: RNAcentral
AAUGUGUACGUCCCGCGUCCCGCUCUUACCUAACCUAGUAUACAGUUUUGCAGCUGGGUGAGGCAAAAAUUGCGGCAUGGUGCACAUCAUUUUAGAUGACAGCAGCCAUCAUGACCAUCAUGAUGAGCAAUCCUAAGAAUGAAGAAAAAAUGGCCAGGUGGAGCCGGGACAAUUCAGGACUUGAGGCAGAUGCUCGAAGCCUAUGAUAGCGUGAAGUAUGGGGUUACAACUUCAUCGGUGGCCACUAGCCUGGAGAGCCCGCUUAUGUUUCGGGGCAUCCUCUUCCUUACCCAUGCCGGCUUCUAUGGAGUCAGUGGCUUCCUCCCCGUCCUCCUCACCCAUGCCGGCUUCUGCGGAGUCAAUGGCUCCGUCGGGUUUGGCACCCACCACCAGCAUCAAGUUGAACCUGUCGGAAUAAUGGCGGCGCCAACUCCAUUCAUGGUCGGCUUGCAGGUCACUAUAACCGGGUCUAUCGCCGUCCAUCUACAUGGGGUGCAUCCAACCUCUUACGGUCGAGGGGUUCUUCAUUCCGCUUUUUGUCGGGAUCAAUCCUGGAACCUUACAGGAGUACUAUGCCGCGCCUUAGCAUAAUAGCUGCGUCUGGAGCCGUAUUCAUUAUGUGUUCACUACCGACGACUCUCAACAUCACCUAUAUCGACACCGGCUUCUCUCAACAUCAACUUUUAAGCUUUUAUAUAAGAGUUCCGUGGUAGCGUGCACCUUAGCAAUCGGGCAAAUGAACAUUUCUUUGCGAUUUGCCACGAAGGACCUAAAGAAGGUGUGUUGUUGCCCAUUCAGGAAGAUAGUUGAAUUUCCAGCAUGGUGUAACAUGGGUAUUGCUUGCACCUGCAAGCGGCCUAGGACAGCCC